Molecule: ribosomal RNA, 253 nt
Filed under: uncultured bacterium
Lineage: Bacteria
Description: partial 16S ribosomal RNA
Rfam family: Bacterial small subunit ribosomal RNA
Source: RNAcentral
UACGGAGGGGACUAGCGUUGUUCGGCCUUACUGGGCGUAAAGCGCGCGUCGGCGGAUUUGUAAGUCGGGGGUGAAAUCCCGGGGCUCAACCUCGGAGCUGCCUUCGAUGCUGCAAAUCUCGAGUCCGGAAGAGGUGAGUGGAAUUCCUAGUGUAGAGGUGAAAUUCGUAGAGAUUAGGAAGAACACCAGUGGCGAAGGCGGCUCACUGGUCCGGUACUGACGCUGAGGCGCGAAAGCGUGGGGAGCAAACAGG